AGGAGACCUGUCCUCCUGAUUGGCUGGCAUUAGGACUAGGGCUUGUGUUUAUUAACUAUAAGACGUGACAAACCGAACCGGGUGUCGAACCCGAGUCAUUUGUGUGCCUCAAGACCGCAUUAGCCCACAGAGCUAAAGACUAUAGGCCCUAUCUGUAUGAUCUCACCAGUCCUCAGGUCAGGUUCAUCAUGGGGGGGGAAGGAAUCACUAGUCCUCAGGUCAGGUUCAUCAUGGGGGGGAAGGAAUCACUAGUCCUCAGGUCAGGUUAAUCUAUCCUCAUGGGGGGAAGGAAUCACUAGUCCUCAG
RNAcentral lists this long non-coding RNA (306 nucleotides) under Salmo salar (Atlantic salmon). RNAcentral's name for it is "lncRNA (ENSSSAG00000095524.1)". Lineage: Eukaryota; Metazoa; Chordata; Actinopteri; Salmoniformes; Salmonidae. The record is from RNAcentral.